GCCAGGUGCAGUGGCGCACACCUGUAAUCGCAGCGGCUUGGAGGCUGAGGCAGGAGGAUCGUUGAGUUCAAACCUAGCUUUAGCAACUUAGUGAGGCCCUAAGCAACUCAGUGAGACCCUGUCUCUA
This 127-nucleotide small RNA is filed under the name Marmota monax (woodchuck). Lineage: Eukaryota; Metazoa; Chordata; Mammalia; Rodentia; Sciuridae. The record is from RNAcentral.